Non-coding RNA from Bombina bombina (fire-bellied toad), 878 nucleotides. The record is from the annotation of a RefSeq genome assembly. NCBI's taxonomy places the organism in Eukaryota, Metazoa, Chordata, Amphibia, Anura, Bombinatoridae.
UAGUUUACUGUAUAAAUAAUGUACAUGAUAAAAUCAGCAAAUAUAUCCCCAUUUGAAAGAGCUUCAACUCAAUUAAAGAAUGUGUGUGUGCACUUUUUUUUAUAAAAUUCACAGAACAUACAGUACACAAUUAAUUUUGUUCAGCUUUGAGAUAUGUAUGAAACCCUAAGCAGCCUCUUCCUUUUAUACAAAUCAUUAUGCAAACCAGAUACUCUACAUCAUUUUAUAAGGAGCUCUGUGUAUUAAACAAACUCAGUGAUACAGAGCAGCAGAUAAUUUUAUGUUUGUAACUUUCAUUUUUUACAGCACAUAAUGAGGUGGUUCCAUAUUGCACUUCUCCUGCUUAUGUCUACAACAUGUGUCUUCUCACAAGUUACUCUCAAUCAGCCUGAGUCUGAAGUUGUGAAGCCCUCAGGGACCCUGAAAAUCACUUGUCAUGUCUCAGUCUCUGUUGGCAGCUAUUACUGGGGCUGGGUCAGGCAAUUACCUGGGAAAGGACUGGAAUACAUGGGACGCAUUACUAGCGGUGGGGAACAACAGAUUGCCCCGUCCUUCCAGGGUCAAAUCACUUUAACCAGGGACACAUCAAAAAAUGAAAUUUAUCUGCAAAAACCUAAUAUGAAGAUAUCAGAAUCUGGAAUGUAUUUCUGUGCUAGAGACACAGCCAAACAAGGGAGUCAGGAUGUGUAAAAAAAACUCCUGAGACUAUGGGGAGAGGGAGGGAGAGAAGAAAAACAAUAAUUUAACAUUCCUGUAUCUACAAUUCUAGUAGCUUUUUAUUUAGUUUGUAAUAAUAUAUCCUUUUAUGGGGGAUUUUAAUUUCUCAAUUCCUAAUGCUUUUUAAAGUUUGAUUGGAAAUAAACUCUGACAUUAAAAUA